Brienomyrus brachyistius is the source of this 195-nucleotide long non-coding RNA. RefSeq lists it as uncharacterized. The transcript has 3 exons. The record is from RefSeq and is a predicted model, not a curated record. NCBI's taxonomy places the organism in Eukaryota, Metazoa, Chordata, Actinopteri, Osteoglossiformes, Mormyridae.
UCUGCUUGUGUACGGAAGAGAGGCAGUGUUUCCUUCACAGGUUCCCAUUAAAUUGCCACUUUCCACAAUCAUCCUCCCUGAUGAAGCAAGUUACGUGAUGAUGCUUUGGGCUGCAAAGGACACUGGGAGGGUUGAAGCAGUUGUUGGCCCAUACAAACUGUAUGAUCAUUCUUUUCGCACCCUGCAGGGGAAUGA